GUUCGAAUUGUUUUUACGAUCCAAGGUC
RNAcentral lists this small RNA (28 nucleotides) under Bombyx mori (domestic silkworm). RNAcentral's name for it is "ovarian small RNA-17972". The record is from RNAcentral. Lineage: Eukaryota; Metazoa; Arthropoda; Insecta; Lepidoptera; Bombycidae.